RNAcentral lists this ribosomal RNA (439 nucleotides) under uncultured bacterium. RNAcentral's name for it is "partial 16S ribosomal RNA". It matches the Rfam family "Bacterial small subunit ribosomal RNA", at positions 338 to 795 of the family's 1533-position model. The record is from RNAcentral.
CCUACGGGAGGCAGCAGUGGGGAAUCUUGCACAAUGGGGGAAACCCUGAUGCAGCGACGCCGCGUGAGUGAAGAAGUAUUUCGGUAUGUAAAGCUCUGUCCUCAAGGAAGAUAAUGACGGUACUUGAGGAGGAAGCCACGGAUAACUACGUACCAGCACCAGCGGUAAUACGUAGGGGGCUAGCGUUAUCCGGAUUUACUGGGCGUAAAGGGUGCGUAGGUGGUUUCUUGAGUCAGAGGUGAACGGGUACGGCUCAACCGUAGUAAGCCGUUGACACUGGCAGUCUCGAGUUGGAGAGGAGUAUGCGGAAGGCGCGGUGUAGCGGUGAAAUGCAUAGAUAUCGCGCAGAACUCUGAUUGCGAAGGCAGCAUGCCGGCUCCACACUGACGCUGAGGCACGAAAGCGUGGGUAUCGAACAGGAUUAGAUACCCGAGUAGUC